Molecule: ribosomal RNA, 440 nt
Filed under: uncultured bacterium
Lineage: Bacteria
Description: partial 16S ribosomal RNA
Rfam family: Bacterial small subunit ribosomal RNA
Source: RNAcentral
CCUACGGGGGGCAGCAGUGGGGGAUAUUGCACAAUGGGGGAAACCCUGAUGCAGCGACGCCGCGUGAGUGAAGAAGUAUUUCGGUAUGUAAAGCUCUAUCAGCAGGGAAGAAAAUGACAGUACCUGACCCAGAAGCCCCGGCUAACUACGUGCCAGCAGCCGCGGUAAUACGUAGGGGGCAAGCGUUAUCCGGAUUUACUGGGUGUAACGGGAGCGUAGACGGUUAUGUAAGUCUGGAGUGAAAGCCCCGGGCCCAACCCCGGGACUGCUUUGGAAACUGUGUAACUGGAGUACAGGAGGGGCAGGCGGAAUUCCUGGUGUAGCGGUGAAAUGCGUAGAUAUCAGGAGGAACACCGGCGGCGAAGGCGGCCUGCGGGACUGAAACUGACGUUGAGGCACGAAAGCGUGGGGAGCAAACAGGAUUAGAUACCCUGGUAGUC